GACGAACGCUGGCGGCGUGCCUAAGACAUGCAAGUCGAGCGAGGAGACUUCGGUCUCCUAGCGGCGGACGGGUGAGUAACGCGUGGGCAACCUGCCCUUCAGCCCGGGAUAACUGCCUGAAAAGGUGGCUAAUACCGGAUGCGGUGAUGCGAUCGCAUGGUCGGAUCACGAAAAUUACGGUGCUGAAGGAUGGGCCCGCGUCCCAUUAGCUAGUUGGUGAGGUAACGGCUCACCAAGGCGACGACGGGUAGCGGGACUGAGAGGUUGGCCCGCCACAUCGGGACUGAGACACUGCCCGGACCUCCACGGAGGGCUGCAGUAACGAAUAUUGGGCAAUGGGCGAAAGCCUGACCCAGCGACGCCGCGUGCAGGAUGAAGUCCUUCGGGAUGUAAACUAGCUGUCAGGGAUUAGAAAGACUUCGGUUGAUCAAUCCCAGAGGAAGUCACGGCUAACUUCGUGCCAGCAGCCGCGGUAAGCAUACUCGUA
Molecule: ribosomal RNA, 487 nt
Filed under: uncultured bacterium
Lineage: Bacteria
Description: bacterial SSU rRNA
Rfam family: Bacterial small subunit ribosomal RNA
Source: RNAcentral